GAUGAACGCUGGCGGCGUGCCUAAUACAUGCAAGUCGAGCGAACGGACGAGAAGCUUGCUUCUCUGAUGUUAGCGGCGGACGGGUGAGUAACACGUGGAUAACCUACCUAUAAGACUGGGAUAACUUCGGGAAACCGGAGCUAAUACCGGAUAAUAUUUUGAACCGCAUGGUUCAAAAGUGAAAGACGGUCUUGCUGUCACUUAUAGAUGGAUCCGCGCUGCAUUAGCUAGUUGGUAAGGUAACGGCUUACCAAGGCAACGAUGCAUAGCCGACCUGAGAGGGUGAUCGGCCACACUGGAAAUGAGACACGGUCCAGACUCCUACGGGAGGCAGCAGUAGGGAAUCUUCCGCAAAGGGCGAAAGCCUGACGGAGCAACGCCGCGUGAGUGAUGAAGGUCUUCGGAUCGUAAAACUCUGUUAUUAGGGAAGAACAUAUGUGUAAGUAACUGUGCACAUCUUGACGGUACCUAAUCAGAAAGCCACGGCUAACUACGUG
This 497-nucleotide ribosomal RNA is filed under the name uncultured bacterium. Its description in RNAcentral is "partial 16S ribosomal RNA". It matches the Rfam family "Bacterial small subunit ribosomal RNA", at positions 28 to 507 of the family's 1533-position model. The record is from RNAcentral.